Manis javanica (Malayan pangolin) is the source of this 73-nucleotide non-coding RNA. NCBI's taxonomy places the organism in Eukaryota, Metazoa, Chordata, Mammalia, Pholidota, Manidae. The record is from the annotation of a RefSeq genome assembly.
CCUUCGAUAGCUCAGUUGGUAGAGCGGAGGACUGUAGAUCCUUAGGUCGCUGGUUCGAUUCCGGCUCGAGGGA